UACUUAUACCGAUCAUACAGUUGUGGAUAAUCAGACUUUAAUGAAGAUCUCUUACGCAGACUGAGAGGAACAAGACAAUGCUACAAACUGCACAGUCUGUUAUGGCGGGGCAUUGGAUAUCAUCAUGGUUCAAUGGAGUAUAAACAAAGACAAGUUGUAGAGAUGCUUUUCAGACUGAAGCACAUCAAGGUGGUAACAGCUACCUCGACCUUUGCUUUGGGAAUUAAUAUGCCAUGUAAAUCUGUUGUUUUUAUAGAAGAUUCUGUAGUUUUGGAUGCCUUGAGCUUU
Molecule: non-coding RNA, 288 nt
Organism: Ceratotherium simum simum (southern white rhinoceros)
Lineage: Eukaryota; Metazoa; Chordata; Mammalia; Perissodactyla; Rhinocerotidae
Source: RefSeq, a predicted model, not a curated record